UGAAGAAAAAUCUGUUUAUUGAUGAAAAGUUGCAAAAGUUCUCUUGAUACAAAGAAUACAUGGGUUUAUAAAGAGUUAUGAUUCCUAAACUAAAUAGGAAUAAACUUUACAAGUCCUAAAUUAAGUAAGAAAAUAAAACACAAUCAUGAUGAAAGAAGAAUCCUACUUAUAAUAGGAAUUAGAAACUUAAUAGCAAGUUUAAAAACAAACCGGACACAGCUAGCCAACGACUACAUGGCUGUGUAGAUUCACGCAGCUUGAAAGCACGCUGGUUUGAGAGACGCGAAGCAUAUGCCUUGGACAGGGCUAGGCUGGAUAGCUGUUCGGUUUCACACGACAAGACUGGGUGGCAUACUGCAUUUUGUUACUCUUUGAUUUGGACACUCUGUCACUAGAUCCCUCAUUUUCAUUGGGUUCUUGAAGUUUUUCCAAGGCUUCUACCACUUUUUUCAUGGUUGGUCUAGACGUUGGUUCUGAUGAGACGCAUAGCGAUGCUAAUUUAGCUGUUUUUAGCACACUGUCUUUUGAAAAAUGGCCCCAACUUCUAGCAUUCAGAAUCCGGAAAAUAUUGUAUGCAUUGUCAAGGCAAGGCCUUGCCCACUGGACCAAGUUCCUUUCCUCGUAUGGCCUUUUUGUGUCUAUGGCUGGCCUGCCACAUAACAAUUCCAGUAGAACAACCCCAAAACUGUAUACUUCACAUCUUGUUGAUAGAUGACCUUCACAAGAAUGAAACAAAAUGACAUAGAGGUAGGUAUAAUAGCUGUGAUGCUUUAAAAUAGAAGGCCAUUUCAACUGAGACACAAACAUUUGCGUUGACAGAAGGGAGCUGUAGUUUAUGAUCAAGUUUUUCUAGAAGACAGAAUUCUGAAUGUGAACAUGAACAAAGUACAAAAUCACAAUAUACCUGACUCCAUAUACUCAGGAGCAUAAUACCCUUCAGUACCCAAAACCCUUGUUGUG
RNAcentral lists this unclassified non-coding RNA (960 nucleotides) under Hevea brasiliensis (rubber tree). Lineage: Eukaryota; Viridiplantae; Streptophyta; Magnoliopsida; Malpighiales; Euphorbiaceae. The record is from RNAcentral.